UGCAAAACACAAUAGCAAAUCAGAAAACACAAUGGUUAAUGUUGUUGUGUUUUCUGAUUUGCUGUUGUGUUUUGCA
Non-coding RNA from Xyrichtys novacula (pearly razorfish), 76 nucleotides. The record is from the annotation of a GenBank genome assembly. NCBI's taxonomy places the organism in Eukaryota, Metazoa, Chordata, Actinopteri, Labriformes, Labridae.